CAGGAUGUGAANUCCCCGGGCUCAACCUGGGAACUGCGUUNUGAACUGGGUGACUAGAGUGUNUCAGAGGGAGGUAGAAUUCCACGUGUAGCAGUGAAAUGCGUAGAGAUGUGGAGGAAUACCGAUGGCGAAGGCAGCCUCCUGGGAUAACACUGACGUUCAUGCCCGAAAGCGUGGGUAGCAAACAGGAUUAGAUACCCUGGUAGUCCACGCCCUAAACGAUGUCGAUUAGCUGUUGGGCAGCAUGACUGCUUAGUAGCGAAGCUAACGCGUGAAAUCGACCGCCUGGGGAGUACGGUCGCAAGAUUAAAACUCAAAGGGAUUGACGGGGACCCGCACAAGCGGUGGAUGAUGUGGAUUAAUUCGAUGCAACGCGAAGAACCUUACCUGGUCUUGACAUGUACGGAACCCUCCAGAGACGGAGGGGUGCCUUCGGGAGCCGUAACACAGGUGCUGCAUGGCUGUCGUCAGCUCGUGUCGUGAGAUGUUGGGUUAAGUCCCGCAACGAGCGCAACCCUUGUCAUUAGUUGCCAUCAUUAAGUUGGGCACUCUAAUGAGACUGCCGGUGACAAGCCGGAGGAAGGUGGGGAUGACGUCAAGUCCUCAUGGCCCUUAUGACCAGGGCUUCACACGUCAUACAAUGGUCGGUACAGAGGGUAGCCAAGCCGCGAGGUGGAGCCAAUCUCACAAAACCGAUCGUAGUCCGGAUUGCACUCUGCAACUCGAGUGCAUGAAGUCGGAAUCGCUAGUAAUCGCAGGUCAGCAUACUGCGGUGAAUACGUUCCCGGGUCUUGUACACACCGCCCGUCACACCAUGGGAGUGGGGGAUACCAGAAGUAGGUA
RNAcentral lists this ribosomal RNA (843 nucleotides) under uncultured bacterium. RNAcentral's name for it is "bacterial SSU rRNA". It matches the Rfam family "Bacterial small subunit ribosomal RNA", at positions 588 to 1432 of the family's 1533-position model. The record is from RNAcentral.